UGGGGAAUAUUGCACAAUGGGCGCAAGCCUGAUGCAGCGACGCCGCGUGAGGGAUGGAGGCCUUCGGGUUGUAAACCUCUUUCGCCAGUGAAGCAGGCCAUCUUCUUUGUGGGGUGGUUGACGGUAGCUGGAUAAGAAGCGCCGGCUAACUACGUGCCAGCAGCCGCGGUAAUACGUAGGGCGCGAGCGUUGUCCGGAAUUAUUGGGCGUAAAGAGCUCGUAGGCGGCUGGUCGCGUCUGUCGUGAAAUCCCCUGGCUUAACUGGGGGCUUGCGGUGGGUACGGGCCGGCUUGAGUGCGGUAGGGGGGACUGGAAUUACUGGUGUAGCGGUGGAAUGCGCAGAUAUCAGGAGGAACACCGGUGGCGAAGGCGGGUCUCUGGGCCGUUACUGACGCUGAGGAGCGAAAGCGUGGGGAGCGAACAGG
RNAcentral lists this ribosomal RNA (425 nucleotides) under bacterium. Its description in RNAcentral is "partial 16S ribosomal RNA". It matches the Rfam family "Bacterial small subunit ribosomal RNA", at positions 355 to 776 of the family's 1533-position model. The record is from RNAcentral.